RNAcentral lists this ribosomal RNA (460 nucleotides) under uncultured bacterium. RNAcentral describes it as "partial 16S ribosomal RNA". It matches the Rfam family "Bacterial small subunit ribosomal RNA", at positions 338 to 795 of the family's 1533-position model. The record is from RNAcentral.
CCUACGGGUGGCAGCAGUGAGGAAUAUUGGUCAAUGGACGAGAGUCUGAACCAGCCAAGUAGCGUGAAGGAUGACUGCCCUAUGGGUUGUAAACUUCUUUUAUAUGGGAAUAAAAUGUUCCACGUGUGGCAUUUUGUAUGUACCAUAUGAAUAAGGAUCGGCUAAAUCCGUGCCAGCUGCCGCGGUAAUACGGAGGAUCCGAGCGUUAUCCGGAUUUAUUGGGUUUAAAGGGUUCGUAGGUGGAUUUUUAAGUCAGUUGUGAAAGUUUGCGGGUCAACCGUAAAAUUGCAGUUGAAACUGGCAGUCUUGAGUAAAGUAGAGGUGGGCGGAAUGCGUGGUGUAGCGGUGAAAUGCUUAGAUAUCACGAAGAACUCCGAUUGCGAAGGAAGCUCACUGGAGUGCAACUGACACUGAGGCUCGAAAGUGUGGGUAUCAAACAGGAUUAGAUACCCCAGUAGUG